RNAcentral lists this ribosomal RNA (102 nucleotides) under Lactiplantibacillus pentosus. RNAcentral also lists the same sequence under 1 other name. The record is from RNAcentral. Lineage: Bacteria; Bacillati; Bacillota; Bacilli; Lactobacillales; Lactobacillaceae.
GAGAAGGAUACACCUGUUCCCAUGUCGAACACAGAAGUUAAGCUUCUUAGCGCCGAGAGUAGUUGGGGGAUCGCUCCCUGCGAGGGUAGGACGUUGCCAUGC